This is a long non-coding RNA of Peromyscus leucopus (white-footed mouse), 369 nucleotides long. RefSeq lists it as uncharacterized. The record is from RefSeq and is a predicted model, not a curated record. NCBI's taxonomy places the organism in Eukaryota, Metazoa, Chordata, Mammalia, Rodentia, Cricetidae. The transcript has 3 exons.
GAGAAAGGUUCUGCUGAUGGAGCUGCAGCACUCGCCAUGGGAAGGUUAGAGACUGGAAGUGCCGGCUCCUGCCAGCACACAGCGAUUUGCAAGUGAAUGCGAGGGAGGGAGCAUCCGAGCGGAGGGCUGCGCAUGAAAGGCGUCCCCUCCCCCGCAGGGCAGAAAGACUCUCUGUUUCCAGCCUAAGAGGAAUUCUACAUUGUCCUUGCUAUUCCGAAACUCAGGAUGUAGACGGAGCUGGCUUUGACCUCACAGAGUCUGGAGCACUGGGACAAAGGAGCAAAAAUAAGAUUUUCUGUAUAAGAUGAACUAUAAAUGCAAGUAUGGAUCCCAGGAGAGCAUUGUAGUCUUGCUUCAAGCAAGCUGAAA